AUUGAACGCUGGCGGCAGGCCUAACACAUGCAAGUCGAACGGUAACAGGAAACAGCUUGCUGUUUCGCUGACGAGUGGCGGACGGGUGAGUAAUGUCUGGGAAACUUGGCUGAUGGAGGGGGAUAACUACUGGAAACGGUAGCUAAUACCGCAUAACGUCGCAAGACCAAAGAGGGGGACCUUCGGGCCUCUUGCCAUCGGAUGUGCCCAGAUGGGAUUAGCUAGUAGGUGGGGUAACGGCUCACCUAGGCGACGAUCCCUAGCUGGUCUGAGAGGAUGACCAGCCACACUGGAACUGAGACACGGUCCAGACUCCUACGGGAGGCAGCAGUGGGGAAUAUUGCACAAUGGGCGCAAGCCUGAUGCAGCCAUGCCGCGUGUAUGAAGAAGGCCUUCGGGUUGUAAAGUACUUUCAGCGGGGAGGA
RNAcentral lists this ribosomal RNA (425 nucleotides) under uncultured Escherichia sp. Its description in RNAcentral is "bacterial SSU rRNA". It matches the Rfam family "Bacterial small subunit ribosomal RNA", at positions 30 to 448 of the family's 1533-position model. Lineage: Bacteria; Pseudomonadati; Pseudomonadota; Gammaproteobacteria; Enterobacterales; Enterobacteriaceae. The record is from RNAcentral.